AUGUUGUGUAAUAAAAUGAUGUAUGAUGUUUUGUGUCGAAAAUUCUUGACAAUUUGAUGUGAAUUUAAUGCUCUAACGACUGCUCUUAAAAUAGUCAUCAUAAAUUCAUAUUCAACUUAAAAGAUUAAAAAUAUUCAUAUGUGGAAUAAAAAAAACAAAAAUAAACGACGAUAAAGUAACUGUAAAAUAAAAAAAAAGUCGUUGAAGGUAUAUACCUCAUCAUCCUUAUACAUAUUGAGAAAACGAUUUAUUAUGGUAAUUUGUAAGAGUAGAUCUACAUCAGCAGUGUUCUUAAAACUGCAUUGUUUAUUGUUUCUAGAUUUGAUAGAAUUAAUAUUAUUGCCACUCCAGUAAAAUAUACUGUAAUCACGAUGACAGGGGCGUAUUUAGAAAUGUCUAAUGGGGGGGGGGGGCACAAACAAAAAGUUCACAUCAGCGUAGGUACAUGGGAUGCACUGUGAGCCUAAAAAAACUAAUACUCUUUAUAGUAAAAAAAAGUAUAAAAUACGGUGAAUGGGAGAGGUUAGCUGGGCACUGGCCUCAUAGACCCCCCUUAAACACGCUCCUACACGAUGGCGUAAUCAUGUGAAACACCUACACGAAGUUUUCGAUUUAUAAUUAAAAAAUUUUCAAAUUAUUUUAUAUAAUGAUGGACUUACUCGGAGUCUGGAGAAAACGGAGUCGUUGCAUUUUCAUUUUUAGGGAAACUAUAAAUUUCGGGUAGGACGACGUGGCCGAAGUGAUCCAAUUAAAACGCCCCCCUACCCCGCAGAAACCGCUUCGACGUUAAGACAAAAUAUACAAACCAAUAAAUAGCAUCGAUUCUCCGAAAUAAGUAAAUAACUUCCUAUACCAUUAUAAUGUUAUGUAUCAAUUAUAUUAUUGUUUAUUCUCCAGUCCCAAGAGGCGGAUUUUUUCGUCACGUGGGAAGUUUUCAGGACGCGCAUGAAGUACGGUAGCUAUACGACUGUAGGCUAUGAGAGCAGUGCCAGUUAUAUGUGAUGUUCAAGGGGGUACGAAAAUAAAUCCAACCCUCAUCUAAAUUAACAUUUUCAAACAUAAAUAUUAUAAUAAUAUACCAUAGUGAUCAGUCGAUCGCAACUUUUUAUUUUGAUCGACAACCUAAAAAAAACCCAAAAGUCCAUAAAAGUCGGUCACCCCUGGUAUAUACCUACAUAUAAUAUAUAAAAUAUUAUACAUAAUCAAAUCCCAGAUUAGGUAUCGCCUCCUCCCCUACAAUCACCCCCUGGCAGAGUAUGUAUCACAAUUAUUCGGGUAUUAUGCAUAUAUGUAUAGAUGGGUAUUAUAGUACGGUUGACAAGAGUGAUCUUUUACCCGGCGGAUGAUGAUGUAUUAUAAAUAGAACUGUUUUUGGUUUCAUGACACUGCAACGCGACGGUCGUUUCGGCCAGAACGCCAUAUUAUUAUUAUUAUUAUUAUUUUAAUCGUCCCGUUGUUCCACAGUUGUCGCGAAACGAAAAAUAAUCGACCGAUGGAAUCUGCCGAGCGAAACAAAGCGCGAUCCACGCUCGAUCGCCACCACGCUGCGGUUUUAUUUAUUAUAUUAUGUACGCGUGAUGGGCGGAAAUGGGUUUUGUGCGGCCGAUUCACCAGAAAUCGUGGCCCGGAGCGCUUCUAAUGGGGAUACCGUGUUAUAAAGAUAACAAAAUAAACUCGAUGGAAGUUUUCCCAUUGAACGGCCAUCGACGCAGUGCCGAACAGUUCGUAAUGCAAUACUUACAACAAGGACCCGGUUAUGCCGGUGCAAAAUGGCCGUAACUCGAAAAACUCAAAUCUUACGUGUAAACGCAUAAUAAUUAAUAGAACUUCUAUUUCUACCUACAAUUUCGAAAAAAAAAAAAGAAAAGAGCUUUGCUAUGAGAAACCGUUUAAUCGAUACAAUAAUAGCAAGUUAAAAGCCAUGCAGUAAAGUACCUAUAACAGCUCUAUUACAAUAAAAUAUUAAUCAAAUAAAUCAGGAAAAUUUCUCCAUAGAAAUACGUGGUAAUUAUUGUUUCUGCAAUUGUACUGAUUGUUUUUAUAAAAUUUAAUAAUUGCUUA
Long non-coding RNA from Aphis gossypii (cotton aphid), 2061 nucleotides. RefSeq lists it as uncharacterized. The record is from RefSeq and is a predicted model, not a curated record. The transcript is spliced from 2 exons. Lineage: Eukaryota; Metazoa; Arthropoda; Insecta; Hemiptera; Aphididae.